RNAcentral lists this ribosomal RNA (799 nucleotides) under Niphargus sp. KaniRasoul1. RNAcentral's name for it is "partial large subunit ribosomal RNA". The record is from RNAcentral. Lineage: Eukaryota; Metazoa; Arthropoda; Malacostraca; Amphipoda; Niphargidae.
GAGUAUAAGCCAAUGGAGCUUGGAAGGCUUCCGCAGAUGGUGUCCAUCAUACGUGGUGUUCUUAAGACCUUGAGUCUCGCUCGUCAGGCGUAGCAUUGAGUUUGCCAGGUUAGCUGUCGUGCGGGGGUUCGGCUUGGAGGUCUCAGGCUUCGGCCGAAGGGCUUCCGGCUGUCCCCUUUAGAACGGACGUUCAGAGCUCUUGUGUCUAAUGCGGUUAUGCCCACCACAGCACGUUGUGAGGUCACCCACAGGCUCAAACUGCCGAUCGCGUAUCCAGGACGAUGGCAACGAUGCGUUGUUGGCGCGUGUGUGCGGGAGCGAGUCUCUCCACGCGCCGUCACACGCGUGUCUAGUCCUGGGUCGGGCGGCGACCGAGAUAAACCUGGUACGAUCCUCUUGCGACGAGCUGCUUUCUGGCCAGACCGACGCCCAGGCGCCUCCACUGUGCCGGAAGCGUCAAUCCCAGGCGGUGUGAACCCAGCUGCAUUAUGCAAGGUCUCUCAGCCGGGCGUUGGUCUGAGUGGUGUCAAGUCCAGCACCAUCGGUCACGUCUCGAAACACGGGCCAAGGAGUAUAGCAUGUGUGCAAGUCUAAGGGUCUCACAAAACCCGAAGGCGAAGUGAAAGCAAGACUGUGGCGGGGGCGCCACGGCAAACCCGCCGGCCUAGUGCGGCGCCUUGUGCGUCGCCUGGCUUUAAGCAGAGCUGAUCCUGUUUUCUCGGUUAAUUCUUGGUGCAGGCGCAAGCUCCGGGCUCACGUACAACACUGGUCACGCCUCGUGCGUGGCUGUGUUGUGAGC